This 773-nucleotide ribosomal RNA is filed under the name uncultured Neocallimastigales. Its description in RNAcentral is "partial large subunit ribosomal RNA". It matches the Rfam family "Eukaryotic large subunit ribosomal RNA", at positions 22 to 644 of the family's 3401-position model. Lineage: Eukaryota; Fungi; Neocallimastigomycota; Neocallimastigomycetes; Neocallimastigales. The record is from RNAcentral.
AUAUCAGUCAUGCAUAGCAUAUCAAUAAGCGGAGGAAAAGAAACUAACAAGGAUUCCCUUAGUAACGGCGAGUGAAGCGGGAAGAGCUCAAAUUUGAAAUCUUCAAGGUUCUACCUUGACGAAUUGUAGUUUAUAGAAGUGUUUUCUGUUAGUGGAGUGGCAAAAGUUCUUUGGAAUAGGACAUCAUAGAGGGUGAGAAUCCCGUAUUUGGUCAUUCUUUCUAGCUUUGUGAUACACUUUCAACGAGUCGGAUUGUUUGGGAAUGCAGUCCAAAAUGGGUGGUAAAUUUCAUCUAAAGCUAAAUAUUGGCGAGAGACCGAUAGCGAACAAGUGCCGUGAGGGAAAGAUGAAAAGAACUUUGAAAAGAGAGUUAAACAGUACGUGAAAUUGUCAAAAGGGAAGCGUUUGACACCAGUGUUGUUUUUCCGAAAAUCAAUUACGAAUGUUUUGUUUUUGAGGAGUUAUGACUUCAUCGGCUUGCUUCUCUCUUUACGAAACUUUCUUAAUGCACUCUUCGGUUAACAAGUCAACAUCAAUUUCUUUUGUUGUAAAAGGGUAUGAGGAAGGUGGCUUUCCUUUCGGAGAAAGUGUUUAUAGCCUUGUACCUCUGCAAUCGGAGAGAUUGAGGUCUGCAGCGUAGAUCCUUCGGGGUUAGAUACAUUUGUGCUAAGUUAUAGCUUUUCAUAGACAACUUGUUGACUAUGUUAAGUCUUGUAGCUUACUCGCUGACGCUAUUUUACCUACGCUUAGGAUGUUGAUCUCUCACAGUCGAG